GAAAAGGGGAGAUUAAUACAAGAUGGUGUUGAAAUUCCGCAUGUUAUUUCAACUUAAAGAUUUUAUCGGUAACGGAUGGGGAUGCGUGACAUUAGAUAGUAGGCGGGGUAACGGCCCACCUAGUCUACGAUGUCUAGGGGUUCUGAGAGGAAGGUCCCCCACACUGGAACUGAGACACGGUCCAGACUCCUACGGGAGGCAGCAGUGAGGAAUAUUGGUCAAUGGCCGGAAGGCUGAACCAGCCAAGUAGCGUGAAGGAUGAAGGUUCUAUGGAUUGUAAACUUCUUUUAUGAGGGAAUAAAACCUCCCACGUGUGGGAGCUUGUAUGUACCUUAUGAAUAAGCAUCGGCUAACUCCGUG
This 360-nucleotide ribosomal RNA is filed under the name uncultured bacterium. Its description in RNAcentral is "bacterial SSU rRNA". It matches the Rfam family "Bacterial small subunit ribosomal RNA", at positions 153 to 507 of the family's 1533-position model. The record is from RNAcentral.